AUUGGAUUGAAAUUUAUAAUGUUUAGGAAUAUUUUAAUUGAUUUGCAUUUUACUUUAAUUUGGUUCUAUAUUGAGACUCUUAUUGUUUUGGGUAUUGGUUACUUGAAUUGUAUUCCUAGUUUAGGUUAGGUUUCCUAGUCAUAUUAAGAUAAGUUGUAGUUAAUAUAAUUAAGUAUCUUGUUUAGAUUUUACAAGCUGACUUUUUUUUAUUAUUAUUUCUUUGGGAAAAACUCUGUUGUAUUCUUGUUAUUUCUAUCUCAGGAGUAUUCAAAGGUAUCCUCUAUCCAUCACUAUACAUCUUUUAUCCUUUUCUGCAUUAGUUUCAGUUUGGUAUUUUUAUUCACUUUGUCUGCAGUACUGUUGUUUCUGCUGAAGCAAAAGGGAAAAAAAAAAAAAAAAAAACUUUUUGGUCAAUAAAGUUGACCAAUACACUUAAACUGCUUCUCCAAGAAGCAGUUGAUUACUUAAAAGCAACUUUUACGAAAGCAUAUGCACCUUAGUAUAUUUCUUCUUUAUGCAUUCAAACUUGAAUGAUACAAGAAAGUGUUACUUCCAUUGAAGGGUUGGAACCUUAAACAUUAAGUCAUCCGUACUGUGAAAGGAUAUUUUUGUCUUAAAACCACCAUUUGACAAUGCAGGGUUCCUAUUUCCAAAAUAAACUCUCCUUUUGCCUAAUAUUGUUGUGAGCUUUUGUCCACCAUAAAGUAAAUUUACUAGUUGCUGUUCUCAAUUAUACAACUUCUGUGCCAGUUGAUAACUUUGGUUGU
RNAcentral lists this long non-coding RNA (767 nucleotides) under Citrus maxima (pomelo). RNAcentral describes it as "long non-coding RNA (CMAX_LNC001050)". The record is from RNAcentral. Lineage: Eukaryota; Viridiplantae; Streptophyta; Magnoliopsida; Sapindales; Rutaceae.